UCCGGCAGCUAGCUCUCUGCAACUCUCACAUGGUCCCCCACUGAAAUUAAGCAGGGCUGCGCCCGGUUAUUACCUGGAUGAGAGACCACAUGGGAAAGCUAGGUUGUUGCCGGAA
This is a non-coding RNA of Danio rerio (zebrafish), 115 nucleotides long. Lineage: Eukaryota; Metazoa; Chordata; Actinopteri; Cypriniformes; Danionidae. The record is from Rfam.